UGAGUAACGCGUAGGAAUGUACCUUGUAGUGAGGGAUAAGCCGGAAACCGGGUCUAAUACCGCAUAUUCUCUUCGGAGCAAACCCUUCGGGGCGUAUAAGAGCGGCCUGCGUACGAUUAGGUUGUUGGUGAGGUAAAGGCUCACCAAGCCGAUGAUCGUUAGCUGGUCUGAGAGGAUGGUCAGCCAGACUGGGACUGAGACACGGCCCAGACCCCUACGGGGGGCAGCAAUUAGGAAUCUUUCGCAAUGGGGGAAACCCUGACGGAGCGACGCCGCGUGCAGGAGGAAGGCCUUCGGGUUGUAAACUGCUUUUGUAUGUGACGAUUAUGACGGUAGCAUGCGAAUAAGGACCUGCUAACUACGUG
RNAcentral lists this ribosomal RNA (365 nucleotides) under uncultured bacterium. Its description in RNAcentral is "partial 16S ribosomal RNA". It matches the Rfam family "Bacterial small subunit ribosomal RNA", at positions 107 to 507 of the family's 1533-position model. The record is from RNAcentral.